CUUAACGUGGUUAACACUUG
RNAcentral lists this small nuclear RNA (20 nucleotides) under Arabidopsis thaliana (thale cress). Its description in RNAcentral is "snRNA_01673". Lineage: Eukaryota; Viridiplantae; Streptophyta; Magnoliopsida; Brassicales; Brassicaceae. The record is from RNAcentral.